AUUGAACGCUGGCGGCAGGCCUAACACAUGCAAGUCGAGCGGCUGAAGGGUGCUUGCUCGUGGAUUCAGCGGCCGACGGGUGGGUGAUGCCUAGGAAUAUCCCUGUUAGUGUUGGCGAAGGUCCGGAAGCGGGGGCAAAUACCGCGUUACUCCUGAGGAAGAAAGGGGGGGAGCUUGGGAUCUUCCGCUAUCAGAUGAUCCUAGGUCGGAUUAGCUAGUUGGUGGGGUAAAGGCCUACCAAGGCGACGAGCCGUAGCUGGUCUGAGAGGAUGAGCCGCCACACUGGAACUGAGACACGGUCCAGACUCCUACGGGAGGCAGCAGUGGGGAAUAUUGGACAAUGGGCGCAAGCCUGAUCCAGCCAUACCGCGUGGGUGAAGAAGGCCUUCGGGUUGUAAAGCCCUUUUGUUGGGAAAGAAAAGCAGCAGGUUAAUACCCCGCUGUUCUGACGGUACCCAAAGAAUAAGCACCGGCUAACUUCGUG
Molecule: ribosomal RNA, 484 nt
Filed under: uncultured bacterium
Lineage: Bacteria
Description: partial 16S ribosomal RNA
Rfam family: Bacterial small subunit ribosomal RNA
Source: RNAcentral